UACGUAGGGGGCAAGCGUUGUCCGGAAUCAUUGGGCGUAAAGAGCGUGUAGGCGGACAGAAAAGUCCGCUGUGAAAACUCGAGGCUCAACUUCGAGCUGUCGGUGGAAACUUUCUGGCUAGAGUCCGGAAGAGGAGAAUGGAAUUCCUGGUGUAGCGGUGAAAUGCGCAGAUAUCAGGAAGAACACCCGUGGCGAAGGCGGUUCUCUGGGACGGUACUGACGCUGAGACGCGAAAGCGUGGGGAGCGAACAGG
This 253-nucleotide ribosomal RNA is filed under the name uncultured bacterium. Its description in RNAcentral is "partial 16S ribosomal RNA". It matches the Rfam family "Bacterial small subunit ribosomal RNA", at positions 524 to 776 of the family's 1533-position model. The record is from RNAcentral.